This 363-nucleotide ribosomal RNA is filed under the name Actinomycetales bacterium YIM M11204. RNAcentral describes it as "bacterial SSU rRNA". It matches the Rfam family "Bacterial small subunit ribosomal RNA", at positions 88 to 452 of the family's 1533-position model. The record is from RNAcentral. Lineage: Bacteria; Bacillati; Actinomycetota; Actinomycetes; Actinomycetales.
UGGAUGAGUGGCGAACGGGUGAGUAACACGUGGGCAAUCUGCCCUGCACUCUGGGAUAAGCCUUGGAAACGGGGUCUAAUACCGGAUACGACAACCGGGGGCAUCUCUGGUUGUGGAAAGUUCCGGCGGUGCAGGAUGAGCCCGCGGCCUAUCAGCUUGUUGGUGGGGUAAUGGCCUACCAAGGCGACGACGGGUAGCCGGCCUGAGAGGGUGACCGGCCACACUGGGACUGAGACACGGCCCAGACUCCUACGGGAGGCAGCAGUGGGGAAUCUUGCGCAAUGGGCGAAAGCCUGACGCAGCAACGCCGCGUGGGGGAUGACGGCCUUCGGGUUGUAAACCUCUUUCGACAUCGACGAAGGC